This 723-nucleotide long non-coding RNA is filed under the name Homo sapiens (human). RNAcentral's name for it is "long intergenic non-protein coding RNA 2614". Lineage: Eukaryota; Metazoa; Chordata; Mammalia; Primates; Hominidae. The record is from RNAcentral.
GGCUUCAGAAGCUCUGCUAUCCACAGGCAGGUGAGAUAUUACCUUCCCUACCACCUGGCAGUCAUAGUCUAUGAUGCAACUCAGCUUUGUGGAAGUGCUUCUCUAAAGAACUUCCCCCAAUUUAAGAUGAUCUUAAUUUGCUUACUUGUUUACUGUCCAUUCAGCUGCUCUAAAAUGUGAGCUCCAAAUCAGGGACCAUGUCUGGUUGGUUACCCAUUUCCUGGGACCUAGAACGGGCCUAGCUCAGAGCAGGUGCUCACUAUUGAUGGAAUGCAUGUUGAAAGAAUGCAUGAAUCUCAUCUCCUUUUGUGGGUGAAAAUCUCAUCCUAUUCUCACUCCUGAUUAACUUUCUUUCUUUUUUUUUUUUCAAAACGGAGCCCUGAUCUGUCACCCAGGCUGGAGUGCAAUGGUGCCAUCUCAGCUCGCUGCAACCUCUGCCUUCUGGAUUAAAGCAAUUCUCCUGCCUCAGCCUCCCGGGUAGCUGGGAUUACAGGUAGAAGUUGCUGGUCCCAUCUUGCUCACAAUCCUCCAAAGUUUGAAAGUUAUUUUCCAGGAGACUUGGCUUGCACUGAGAGCUGCCCUCCCACCCUCUCUCCAAAUUUCCUCUUGGGGGUAGCCUAACAAGGUGCUGUCACAGACCCUUGUCGGCCACGAUGACCCCACCCAGACCAUCCCUCUGCUGUUUCACUCUUUGAUAGUCUCUGGAGCUCUCUGGGGAGGGGU